RNAcentral lists this ribosomal RNA (253 nucleotides) under uncultured bacterium. RNAcentral's name for it is "partial 16S ribosomal RNA". It matches the Rfam family "Bacterial small subunit ribosomal RNA", at positions 524 to 776 of the family's 1533-position model. The record is from RNAcentral.
UACGUAGGGGGCUAGCGUUGUCCGGAUUUAUUGGGCGUAAAGAGCGUGUAGGCGGCCAGGUAGGUCUGGCGUGAAAACUCGAGGCUUAACCUCGAGAUGUCAUCGGAAACCAUCUGGCUAGAGUCCGGAAGAGGAGAGUGGAAUUCCUGGUGUAGCGGUGAAAUGCGCAGAUAUCAGGAAGAACACCAAUGGCGAAGGCGGCUCUCUGGGACGGUACUGACGCUGAGACGCGAAAGCGUGGGGAGCGAACAGG